Molecule: ribosomal RNA, 1381 nt
Filed under: human gut metagenome
Description: bacterial LSU rRNA
Rfam family: Bacterial large subunit ribosomal RNA
Source: RNAcentral
GGAAAGGUGAAAAGCACCCCGGGAGGGGAGUGAAAAAGAACCUGAAACCCUGUGCCUACAAGCACCUAGAGCGCGUCAAAGCGUGAUAGGGUACUUUUUGUAGAACGGUCCGGCGAGCGAUUGUAUGCAGCAAGGUUAAGGACUUAAGGUCUGGAGCCGAAGCGAAAGCGAGUUUGAAAAGGGCGUUAAGUUGCAUAUAAUGGGCCCGAAACCGGGUGACCUACCCAUGGUCAGGUUGAAGUGGAAGUAAAAUUCCAUGGAGGACCGAACCGACCUCCGUUGAAAAGGCGGCGGAUGAACUGUGGGUAGCGGAGAAAUUCCAAUCGAACCCGGAGAUAGCUGGUUCUCCCCGAAAUAGUUUUAGGACUAGCCUCAAGUUAGAUACCUGGAGGUAAAGCACUGAAUAGCCUAGCGGCCGAGAGGUUAGCGAAGCUUAUCAAACUCAGAAUGCCAGAGUAUUGAUGCUUGGGAGUCAGACAGUGUCAGAUAAAUGUCAUUGUCAAAAGGGAAACAGCCCAGAUCUACAGCUAAGGUCCCAAAGUCAGGUUAAGUGGAAAACGAUGUGAAGAUACGCAGACAACCAGGAUGUUGGCUCAGAAGCAGCCACUCAUUCAAAGAGUGCGUAAUAGCUCACUGGUCGAGCGUCUUUGCGCGGAGAAUUUAACGGGGCUAAACCUGACACCGAAGCUUAGGCAAUCCAGUAAUGGAUUGGGUAGGGGAGCGUUGUAUACGCGGAGAAACAGUAGCGUAAGCGGCUGUGGAGUGUAUAGAAGUGAGAAUGCCGGAAUGAGUAGCGCGAAUGCAGUGAGAAUCUGCAUGGCCGAAAGCCUCAGGUUUUUGGAGGAAGGUUCGUCCGCUCCAAGUUAGUCGGGAGCUAAGGUGAGGCCGGAAGGCGUAGCCGAUGCACAGACGGUAGAGAUUCCGUCACCACCAAAAGAGUUAAGCACAGGGACACAUUUGAAGUCUCAGAGCCGGGUGUUGGUUCCGGUAGAGAUCGAGGGAAGUUAGUACCGAAGUCUGAGAUGGAAGAUGGCGAGAAAAGCUGUGUGUAUUUCUGAGGUGCCCGUACCGCAAACCGACACAGGUAGGUAGGAAGAAGAUUCUAAGGCCAACGGGAGAAGGGUUGUUAAGGAACUCGGCAAAUUGACCCCGUAACUUCGGGAGAAGGGGUGCUCCAGAGAUGGAGCCGCAGAGAAUCGGCCCAAGCAACUGUUUACCAAAAACACAGGUUUGUGCUAAAUCGAAAGAUGACGUAUACGAGCUGACGCCUGCCCGGUGCUGGAAGGUUAAGAGGAGAUGUGCAAGCAUUGAAUCGAAGCCCCAGUGAACGGCGGCCGUAACUAUAACGGUCCUAAGGUAGCGAAAUUCCUUGUCAGGUAAG